This is a long non-coding RNA of Erpetoichthys calabaricus (reedfish), 114 nucleotides long. RefSeq lists it as uncharacterized. The record is from RefSeq and is a predicted model, not a curated record. The transcript is spliced from 2 exons. Lineage: Eukaryota; Metazoa; Chordata; Cladistia; Polypteriformes; Polypteridae.
AGGGGAAGGCUACAAAAAGCUAACUCAGAGGUUUAAACUGUCAGUUUCAACUGUAAGGAAUGGAAUCAGGAAAUGGAAGGCCACAGGCACAGUUGCUGUUAAACCCAGCAGGUC